Molecule: signal recognition particle RNA, 98 nt
Filed under: Hydrogenoanaerobacterium saccharovorans
Lineage: Bacteria; Bacillati; Bacillota; Clostridia; Eubacteriales; Oscillospiraceae
Also listed under: 5 other names
Description: signal recognition particle sRNA small type
Rfam family: Bacterial small signal recognition particle RNA
About the family: The signal recognition particle (SRP) is a universally conserved ribonucleoprotein involved in the co-translational targeting of proteins to membranes. Archaeal SRP consists of a 7S RNA and homologues of the eukaryotic SRP19 and SRP54 proteins.
Source: RNAcentral
AGAUUGGUCCUGUGCGAUUGACGGCCGUGAAUCAUGUCAGGCGGGGAACCGAGCAGCAUUAAGCGGUUCGAAGAUGUGCCGCAGCAAACCUGUCUGCC